UGAAUAAAUGCCUGCAGUUUGCACUCAUUUCUGUAACAUAGAAGUUUAUCCUGCUCCUCUUCAUCUUAUGCUUUGUAGUGGACUUGAUACGUAUGUUUAGUGUCUAUGCCAAUACCUGUGGUUCUGAAGUGUAUUUGAGAUGUAUUUUCCUUCUGGAAAGGCCACACUAUUCCUUCCAAGUAUAUUCAUAGUAAAUGAGAAUGCUUGUGUUUCCUGUAUGUAAUAGUGCGACACACGCA
This 239-nucleotide ribosomal RNA is filed under the name Triticum aestivum (bread wheat). RNAcentral's name for it is "partial small subunit ribosomal RNA". Lineage: Eukaryota; Viridiplantae; Streptophyta; Magnoliopsida; Poales; Poaceae. The record is from RNAcentral.